GACAGAGGGUGCAAACGUUGUUCGGAAUUACUGGGCGUAAAGCGCGUGUAGGCGGCCCUGCAAGUCGGAUGUGAAAUCCCACGGCUCAACCGUGGAAGUGCAUUCGAAACUGCAGGGCUAGAGUCCUGGAGAGGAAGGUGGAAUGCUUGGUGUAGAGGUGAAAUGCGUAGAGAUCGGGAGGAAGGCCGGUGGCGAAGGCGGCGCUCUGGAACGUUUCUGACGCUGAGGCUCGAAAGCGUGGGGAGCAAACAGG
This 253-nucleotide ribosomal RNA is filed under the name uncultured bacterium. RNAcentral describes it as "partial 16S ribosomal RNA". It matches the Rfam family "Bacterial small subunit ribosomal RNA", at positions 524 to 776 of the family's 1533-position model. The record is from RNAcentral.